RNAcentral lists this ribosomal RNA (1056 nucleotides) under Triticum aestivum (bread wheat). Its description in RNAcentral is "partial small subunit ribosomal RNA". Lineage: Eukaryota; Viridiplantae; Streptophyta; Magnoliopsida; Poales; Poaceae. The record is from RNAcentral.
AUGUGCUUACCAAAGAGUAGAGGAGGAAUGGGGUUCAGAGACAUUCACUGUUUUAACUUGGCAUUACUGGCUAAACAAGCAUGGCGACUCAUUGAAGACCCUGAAUCCCUCUAUGCAAAGAUUCUUAAAGCAAAAUACUACCCUAAUGUUGAGCUUAUGAAUGCUAGUCUCAAGAAGAAGGCCUCUUAUACAUGGCAAAGUAUAAUGGCAGGUGUGGAGACGUUGAAACAUGGACAUAUUUGGAGGGUGGGAGAUGGCCAAAAAAUAAAUAUAUGGGAAGAUAGCUGGACCCCACAAUAUCCCACCAGGAUGGUUAUCUCUAGAAAAGGGAAUCACCUCCUCUCUCGAGUGUCAGAUUUUAUUGAUCCAGGGUCAUUGUACUAGGAUUCGGGGCUGCUAAACCAAACGUUUUGCAGUGUUGAUGUCUAGAGAAUUCUUGCAAUUCCACUACCAAUUUAUGAAAUGACAAACUUUUUAGCUUGGAGCUUUACUAAAAUAGGUGGCACCUUAAGGUCAGCAUACCAUGCCGUCUUGGAGUCAAAGUUUGGCCAUAAUCUGCAAGCUACAACGAGUUCUUCCUCGCCUACACCUACGUGGGACUCGGUGUGGAGUUUGAGCUGCCCAGCAAAGGUUAAUUUUUUUGUUUGGAGAGCACUUCUUAGUGUAGUUCCAUGUCUAUCAAUAUUGGCUGAUAGACAUAUCAAGAUCAACCCAAGUUGUCAUGUGUGUAACAAUGGGCCGGAGAGCAUCCGUCACCUGUUUUUUGAAUGUCCAGUUGCAGUUCAGGUUUGGAAACUGCUUAGAGUGUGGGAUGUAUUACAGAUGGGAUUGGUGAUGAACACAAGUGGGGAGGUUGUGCUGGAUUUCCUUCUCAUCCUUCCAGGCGAUCAUAUCCAUGUGCUAGGUUUGCCAAAAUGGCGAGAAACAGUGGCUACAUGUUGCUGGUACAUGUGGUGGGAAAGGAGAAAUAUUACACAUGGAGGUGAUCCACAAACGGCGCCACAGAUUAACCUUGCUAUAACCUUGCUAUACGUUCCUUGGCAGAGAACUUUAUAG